RNAcentral lists this long non-coding RNA (260 nucleotides) under Homo sapiens (human). Its description in RNAcentral is "HSALNT0067233". Lineage: Eukaryota; Metazoa; Chordata; Mammalia; Primates; Hominidae. The record is from RNAcentral.
GGGUGACGUGACCUGUAGAUACUGAGGAAGUGCUGGUGACAGGAAGAGGGGUGGUGUGACCUGAGGAUGAUGAGGAAGGGAUGGUGACAGGAAGAGGGGUGGCGUGACCUGUGGAUACUGAGGAAGCGUCGGUGACAUGAAGAGGGGUGGUGUCACCUGUGGAUGCUGAGUUAGUGUCGGUGACAGGAAGAGGGGUGGUGUGACCUGAAGAUGCUGAGGAAGGGAUGGUGACAGGAAGAGAGGUGGUGUCACCUGUGGAU